ACAACAACCUGCAGGCCAUUCAGGCAUUCAUCCAAGGCCAUAUAUCAUUCAUCCCUUGGCAGCCAGGGACCAAGACGGUGAAAACAGGGCGCCUGGGGCGAUUUGAUCAAGAACAUUGCCUGGAUCUAGCAAGUUCUACAUAAAAAGGAGAAUGGUCAAAAAGGCUCUUGUUCUGGUGGCUGAAGGCACGGAGGAAAUGGAAGCCGUCACCAUCGUUGAUGUACUACGCCGUGCGGAGGUGGAGGUGACGGUGGCGGGCGUCGCCGGCUGCGAGCCGGUCAGGUGCAGCCGCUCUGUGCGCAUAGUCCCCGACGCUGCGCUCAGCUCGGCGGCGGACGCAGGCCCCUACGACGCGCUCGUCCUGCCCGGCGGACUGGGAGGCGCGCAGGCCUUCUGCCAGUCGCAGCUGGUGAAGAGGGCGCUGCUAGAACAGGAGGCGACCGGCCGGCUGAUUGCCGCCAUCUGCGCGGCGCCAACGGCUCUGAGGGCGCACGGCCUCUGCACGGGCCGAGCACUCACCAGCUAUCCGACGUUCCGUGACGAGCUGGUGGCGGCCGGCUACCGGUACUUGGAACAGCCGGUGGUGGUAGACGGUACCCUGGUCACCAGCCGCGGUCCAGGCACGGCCGUGCAGUUUGCGCUGGAGCUGGUCGGCCAACUGUGCGGCGGCGAGCGGCAGGCGCGCACGGCGGCCGCACUGCUAUCGGCCGCCUGAGCCGGCGCCUCCAUCCCCGCAUAGCUGAGCCGCCCCCCCCCCCCCCCCCGCUGGAGCCGGUGCCCCGCCUGAGCUCCCCUCCCCCGAGCCGGCACCCCUCGCCGUCUGACCCCCCCCCCCCUCCCCCGAGCUGGCACCCCUCGCCGUCUGAGCCCCCCCCCCCCCUCCCCCGAGCCGGCACCCCUCGCCGUCUGAGCCCCCGCUCGGCUGUCGGAACUGCCACUCCGGGGGCUGCCACUCUGGCUGAACCAGAUUGUAAGGAUUUAUUGAGCCAAUACAUGUCCAGGAUU
This 1005-nucleotide unclassified non-coding RNA is filed under the name Amphibalanus amphitrite. Its description in RNAcentral is "parkinson disease protein 7 homolog, transcript variant X2". Lineage: Eukaryota; Metazoa; Arthropoda; Thecostraca; Balanomorpha; Balanidae. The record is from RNAcentral.